UGAGGAAUAUUGCGCAAUGGGCGAAAGCCUGACGCAGCAACGCCGCGUGAGCGAUGAAGGCCUUCGGGUUGUAAAGCUCUUUUCUGGGGGACGAGGAAGGACGGUACCCCAGGAAUAAGCCUCGGCUAACUACGUGCCAGCAGCCGCGGUAAAACGUAGGAGGCAAGCGUUAUCCGGAUUUACUGGGCGUAAAGCGCGUGCAGGCGGUUUGGUAAGUUGGAUGUGAAAUCUCCUGGCUCAACUGGGAGAGGUCAUUCAAUACUGCCAGACUUGAGGGCGGAAGAGGGGAGUGGAAUUUCCGGUGUAGUGGUGAAAUGCGUAGAUAUCGGAAGGAACACCAGUGGCGAAGGCGGCUCCCUGGUCCGUGCCUGACGCUAAGACGCGAAAGCUAGGGGAGCGAAUGGGAUUAGAAACCCCGGUAGUCCUAGCUGUAAACGAUGCGGACUUGGUGUUGGUGGCUUAAACUCCAUCAGUGCCGAAGCUAACGCGUUAAGUCCGCCGCCUGGGGACUACGGCCGCAAGGCUA
RNAcentral lists this ribosomal RNA (526 nucleotides) under uncultured bacterium. RNAcentral describes it as "bacterial SSU rRNA". It matches the Rfam family "Bacterial small subunit ribosomal RNA", at positions 355 to 896 of the family's 1533-position model. The record is from RNAcentral.